GUGUGUUCUGGAUCGAGCUCAGGGGCGACCAAGAAGGGUCAAGCCCUAAUCAACACAAUUUCAUCAAAUUGAAGGGGCAAAUCAAGUCCAAAUCAAAAUCCGAGUAUGAAUUAGUGAUCUCCAUUGAAAAAGGAGUCAUGAGUUUGACUCUGACAAGCUAGGUAGGAGCUUGGAAAUGAACGGGUCAAAUGGAUAGAAUUCAAGUAUGAAGCUCGCAAGGAUGCAAGGUAAGUAUAACUUACACUAGUCAUAUAUUUUAGAAUGUUCUUUUGUCGUAUUGACUACGAAUAAGACAAAUGGUAAUUUAGUCACACGUUGACAAUAAUCGUUAGUUUUAAAAGACGCUUUCCCGCGUAAGACAUAAAGAGCCGAAAGUGGUAAUAAACGGUUUAUAAAUAAAAUGAGCAUACGGUGUUAAAAGGAGCGAGUCAUGUAGAUGAGAUGAUAAUAAAUAUUAUCUCGCAAAGAUAAACGGUCAAUUCGGCCAAACGGGUCAAAAAGUGUAGACAUCACCUUUUGACUAUAUAGACUAAUGAUUCUUUUGUCGAGUCAUAUGCUUACAGGAAUAGAUAUCCAAUGGAUAUUCGCAUCGUUCUUAAUUAGCGAAUAUAAAGCAAGGUAUUAAAAUCGGGUCUAUUUGUUGAUCCGAGCCAGGUACGCUUAUUUAUGAUGUAUGUAAAAGUGCUAAUUUGGUCGAAUAAUUGGUGAUAGCCCUUCAUUGUAAAAGAAGGACCAAAAUCGACCAAAACACCCUUGUAGGCUAAAUUGAACAAACAACUCUUAGAGGUUGUUUGGAAAGGAGUCUUAUGAUUAAACAAAAGUUUAGAACGAGUACGGGUAGGGAAAGAUGUAAUUCUUAGGCCAAAAGACUCCAUAUGAGUCUUUGCCGUAAAAUGAUAUUUCAAGAGGUAUAAAUUCGGAACACAUAGAUAUCUACUUUGAAUCCGACACACAUUUAGUUGUGAUGGAAGAGUACUAGAUAAGAGCUAUAGGUUACAACGCUGGAUUAGAAUGAAAGCGAAAUUGAGCUUAAAAGUGCUUAAAAUAUCCUUAACGGGUCAAAAUAAGCAUACUAGUGAAAACGGGUUUAAUUUGUGAAUAAACCUAUGAUUAGAACCUAAUAUGGUAUAUCACAAUGAGUUGAUGAAGUGUAUGAAAUAUAGGAAUCAAAUAAAUACGUUUGUUUGAUAAAACGCAUAACCGGGUCAAAAUUUGGUAUAAAGGGUAAUAAGCCGAAGACUUAGAAGUCUUAAAUUUUGUUAAGCCGAAUGUCGGAUUUUAACUACAAAUGAUGGAGAAGCGAAUUACAAACAUGUAGGAAGAAACGGUAGGCCAAACGGACAAGCAGUUUGAAAGAUACGGAAGAUUUCGUGUCAAAUUACGGCAAAAAUGGAAAACUGGAUGCAGGGUCCACCGUAAAUUACGGUGCCACCGUAAUUUACGGUGGAGAUGAAAAGCCUUACGGUGGCCCCCUACUGGUUUACGGUAGGGGUAUGUAAAACCAGUGGCCACCGUAAAUUACGGUGCCACCGUAAUUUACGGUGGAGGUCAGGUUGAAAUUUUUGUUUUUGUUAUCAAUUGUUUCUCGGACUCGUUUAGACACGUUUUAAGUCCUGUAUGACUAAAGCAUUUCAUGUUUAUGAAAUGUAGGUACACCUUGGAUGCCGGAAGACGAUCAAGCUCAACGAAGGACCGAACACGAUAUAGAUACACGCUUCGGCACAUUGCCACGUUGUAAAUUUUAACAACGAACUCAAUUACGUUUGUUGGAUAACUUAUGAUUUGUAAAAGAUUUAAUAAACCCGCAUUUUGUACAGUAUGUGUGGUCUUAACUACACAUCUAAUUGUGGUAUUUUCAUGUAAAAUUGUAAUUUAGUAACUAGCGUGUUACAAGUUGGUAAUCAGAGCUCAUGGUUAAAGAGUAAGGUGUGUUCGGUUCGAGGCUUGAUCGCAAAUCCGGUAAGUGCAUGUAUGCUAAUGGUCUAGCGUAUUAAAGUGUUGUAGACAACACAUAGGGUUACCGUGUAAAACACGUUACCCCAAUUAAAUGAUUGAUAUAGUUGACAAAAAUACGCGCGUUGACGUGUAUAGUAGAAAAAGCCUUGUACUAUAAUACAGGCGAUUAUUGAAGUUGAUAUUACUAACUUUUGUGAAUAUCUUGAUUGAUGGACACUUGCAUUUAAAGAUGACAAGAGUUGAACAAAUUAAGGAUAUGAUAGAGGAACGGUCCGAAGUAUGACGAUAGGAGCAUGCUCACUAAGGACUAAAUCGCGUAACGACCGCGAACAAGGUUAAUGGCAAGAAACGCCCGUCGGGGCAAGCAUUACCAGGUGCGUGUUUUUAAAUAUAAUCGCACAAAUAGCAAUAUGCAACAAACGAGUAGAAAUUGAAAGUUGCAUAUGUAGAUUAAAAACUUGGAAAAACCCGAAUAGAAAAUGUAUUCGGGAUAUUGUUUCCAAGAGAAACAAAUAGAGGCGUUACUUACAUAGGGCGUGAUGUGAAAACUAUAAAAAGGUCAUGUGUGUCAUAUGUUAAUCGCUUACUCUGGCCAAGUAAGUAGUGGCUUAUGAUACCAUGAACUUCUUAUGGCGGACACGUUUACAUCCGAUGUAGUAAGGGCAGGGUGAAUGGGACUAAUUAAAAAGUACCCAAAUGAAUCAGAUAAGCAAAAUAUUUGAUAAUAAUGUAAAUGCACAACCAAGUGACGGGAGCGUAUUACAUUAGGAUAAUGAGCCCGGGUGAAGGGACAAACAAGCAUGUAAAAUGAUUUAGACAAGUAUUGGGAGGGAGUGUACUUACACUCGAACCCAGAAAACACAAGCAUGUAAAAUGAUUUAGACGAGUAUUGGGAAGGAGUGUACUUACACUCGAACCCAGAAAACACAAGCAUGUAAAAUGAUUUAGACGAGUAUUGGGAAGGAGUGUACUUACACUCGAACCCAUAAAACACAAGCAUGUAAAAUGAUUUAGACAAGUAUUGGGAGGGAGUGUACUUACACUCGAACCCAGAAAACACAAGCAUGUAAAAUGAUUUAGACAAGUAUUGGGAGGGAGUGUACUUACACUCGAACCCAGAAAACGCAAACAUGAAAAAUGAUUUAGACAAGCAAUGGGAGGGAGUGUACUUGCACUCGAACCCGGAAAAUGCAAAUAUGUCCCUUAACGGGUCAUUUUUGUAAAACGUCGAACUUAAAGACAAAGUCAGAAUAUAAAAAUGAAGCGAGGUCUUAAUGCAUACCGGGAGGAUUGCAAUAAUAACGACUUUGGUAAAACACCCGGUUGAUGGGUAAGAAUUAAACACAUGCGUAAACCGAGAAACGAGAACAUGAAUUUAAAGUCAAAAGACUCGGAUUAUGAGUUAUGACUAAAAGACCAUAAAAAUUUCGUAAACAGAAAUUCUGAUCAUUAUAUUCAACUAUUUUGAGAUUGAACGGGUUGAAUAAAGUAUAAUGCUUGAAGGCGUAAGUAAGCGCAAGCCGGAUAACGGUAAGCUUGAGACAAAUGAGUUUCAAACGUAAAAAGAGUGCUUUGACACCAAAUAUAUAUUUUAAUAAGACACGAGUAAAAAGAGUGAUCUACGGGAUCAACAUAACCUUUAGGGUUA
RNAcentral lists this long non-coding RNA (3604 nucleotides) under Helianthus annuus (common sunflower). RNAcentral describes it as "hypothetical non coding rna". Lineage: Eukaryota; Viridiplantae; Streptophyta; Magnoliopsida; Asterales; Asteraceae. The record is from RNAcentral.